GACGUAGGUGGCAAGCGUUGUCCGGAUUUACUGGGCGUAAAGAGCGCGCAGGCGGUCGUUCAAGUCGCGUGUGAAAGCCCCCGGCUCAACUGGGGAGGGUCACGCGAUACUGAUCGACUCGAAGGCAGGAGAGGGAAGUGGAAUUCCCGGUGUAGUGGUGAAACGCGUAGAUAUCGGGAGGAACACCAGUGGCGAAGGCGACUUCCUGGCCUGUUCUUGACGCUGAGGCGCUAAAGCUAGGGGAGCAAACGGG
This 253-nucleotide ribosomal RNA is filed under the name uncultured bacterium. Its description in RNAcentral is "partial 16S ribosomal RNA". It matches the Rfam family "Bacterial small subunit ribosomal RNA", at positions 524 to 776 of the family's 1533-position model. The record is from RNAcentral.